AGAGUUUGAUCCUGGCUCAGGACGAACGCUGGCGGCGCGCUUAACACAUGCAAGUCGAGCGAGAACCAGGCCUUCGGGCUUGGGGAAAGCGGCGAACGGGUGAGUAACACGUGGGUAACCCACCCUUGGUACCGGGAUAGCCCGGGGAAACCCGGAUUAAUACCGGAUGGCCCAACAGCUCUUCGGGGCGGUUGGAAAAGGUAGCUUCGGCCUCCGACCAAGGACGGGCCCGCGGCGGAUUAGCUUGUUGGUGAGGUAACGGCUCACCAAGGCGACGAUCCGUAGCUGGUCUGAGAGGACGAUCAGCCACACUGGGACUGAGACACGGCCCAGACUCCUACGGGAGGCAGCAGUGGGGAAUCUUGCGCAAUGGGCGAAAGCCUGACGCAGCGACGCCGCGUGGGGGAAGAAGGCUUUCGGGUUGUAAACCCCUUUCAGGAAGGACGAAGCCACUCGGGUUAAUAGCCCAGAGGGUGACGGUACUUCCAGAAGAAGCCCCGGCUAACUACGUGCCAGCAGCCGCGGUAAUACGUAGGGGGCAAGCGUUGUCCGGAUUUAUUGGGCGUAAAGAGCGUGUAGGCGGUUUGGUAGGUCCGCUGUGAAAACUCGAGGCUCAACCUCGAGACGCCGGUGGAAACCAUCAGGCUAGAGUCCGGAAGAGGAGAGUGGAAUUCCUGGUGUAGCGGUGAAAUGCGCAGAUAUCAGGAAGAACACCCGUGGCUAAGGCGGCUCUCUAGUACGUGACUGACGCUGAGACGCGAAAGCGUGGGGAGCGAACAGGAUUAGAUACCCCCGUAGUCC
Molecule: ribosomal RNA, 801 nt
Filed under: uncultured bacterium
Lineage: Bacteria
Description: bacterial SSU rRNA
Rfam family: Bacterial small subunit ribosomal RNA
Source: RNAcentral